UGGGGAAUAUUGGACAAUGGGCGAAAGCCUGAUCCAGCAAUACCGCGUGUGUGAAGAAGGCCUUCGGGUUGUAAAGCACUUUCAAUUGGGAGGAAAACCUGCCGGUCAAUACCCGGUAGCUUGACAUUACCUUUAGAAGAAGCACCGGCUAACUCCGUG
This 159-nucleotide ribosomal RNA is filed under the name uncultured bacterium. RNAcentral describes it as "partial 16S ribosomal RNA". It matches the Rfam family "Bacterial small subunit ribosomal RNA", at positions 355 to 507 of the family's 1533-position model. The record is from RNAcentral.